Molecule: ribosomal RNA, 466 nt
Filed under: uncultured bacterium
Lineage: Bacteria
Description: partial 16S ribosomal RNA
Rfam family: Bacterial small subunit ribosomal RNA
Source: RNAcentral
GAUGAACGCUGGCGGCGUGCUUAACACAUGCAAGUCGAACGGAAAGGCCCAAGCUUGCUUGGGUACUCGAGUGGCGAACGGGUGAGUAACACGUGGGUGAUCUGCCCUGCACUUCGGGAUAAGCCUGGGAAACUGGGUCUAAUACCGGAUAGGACCACAUUUUGGAUGGUGUGGUGGAAAGUUUUUCGGUGUGGGAUGAGCUCGCGGCCUAUCAGCUUGUUGGUGGGGUAAUGGCCUACCAAGGCGUCGACGGGUAGCCGGCCUGAGAGGGUGUACGGCCACAUUGGGACUGAGAUACGGCCCAGACUCCUACGGGAGGCAGCAGUGGGGAAUAUUGCACAAUGGGCGCAAGCCUGAUGCAGCGACGCCGCGUGGGGGAUGACGGUCUUCGGGUUGUAAACGCCUUUCGCUAGGGACGAAGCGUUAUGUGACGGUACCUGGAGAAGAAGCACCGGCUAACUACGUG